RNAcentral lists this ribosomal RNA (460 nucleotides) under uncultured bacterium. RNAcentral describes it as "partial 16S ribosomal RNA". It matches the Rfam family "Bacterial small subunit ribosomal RNA", at positions 338 to 795 of the family's 1533-position model. The record is from RNAcentral.
CCUACGGGUGGCAGCAGUGAGGAAUAUUGGUCAAUGGGCGCGAGCCUGAACCAGCCAAGUCGCGUGAGGGAUGAAGGUUCUAUGGAUCGUAAACCUCUUUUAUAAGGGAAUAAAGUGUGGGACGUGUCCUAUUUUGUAUGUACCUUAUGAGUAAGGAUCGGCUAACUCCGUGCCAGCAGCCGCGGUAAUACGGAGGAGCCGAGCGUUAACCGGAUUUAUUGGGUUUAAAGGGUGCGUAGGCGGCCUUUUAAGUCAGCGGUGAAAGCCUGUGGCUCAACCAGAGAAUUGCCUUUGAAACUGGGGGGCUUGAGUAUGUUUGAGGCAGGCGGAAUGCGUGGUGUAGCGGUGAAAUGCUUAGAUAUCACGCAGAACCCCGAUGGCGAAGGCAGCCAGCCAGGCCAUGACUGACGCUGAUGCACGAAAGCGUGGGGAUCAAACAGGAUUAGAUACCCCGGUAGUC